Molecule: ribosomal RNA, 253 nt
Filed under: uncultured bacterium
Lineage: Bacteria
Description: partial 16S ribosomal RNA
Rfam family: Bacterial small subunit ribosomal RNA
Source: RNAcentral
UACGGAGGGUGCGAGCGUUGUCCGGAAUCACUGGGCGUAAAGGGCGCGUAGGUGGCGCGACAAGUCAACGGUGAAAGCUCGGCGCUCAACGCCGAGUCGGCCGUCGAUACUGUUGGGCUUGAGCACUGUAGAGGAUAGUGAAUUCCCGGUGUAGUGGUGGAAUGCGUAGAUAUCGGGAGGAACACCAGUGGCGAAGGCGGUUGCCUGGAGCUUUGCUGACGCUGAGGCGCGAAAGCGUGGGGAGCGAGUCCGG